Molecule: ribosomal RNA, 437 nt
Filed under: Synalpheus yano
Lineage: Eukaryota; Metazoa; Arthropoda; Malacostraca; Decapoda; Alpheidae
Description: partial 16S ribosomal RNA
Rfam family: Bacterial large subunit ribosomal RNA
Source: RNAcentral
ACCUGCCCACUGAGUUUUAAAGGGCUGCGGUAAUUUGACCGUGCAAAGGUAGCAUAAUCAAUAGUCUCUUAAUUGGAGGCUUGAAUGAAAGGUUUGACGGAAGAAAGACUGUCUCUUUAGUUUUUAUUGAAUUUAACAUUUAUGUGAAAAGGCGUUAAUAGUUUGGAGGGACGAUAAGACCCUAUAAAACUUUACAUAUUAUAUUAUUUAACUAAAUUGUUAUACUAAUUGUUAGAUUAAUAAUUGUGUUUUGCUGGGGCGGCAAAAAUAUAACUGUAACUGUUUGAAAUAUGAAAUAUCUAUUAAUAAAAUAAUGGUCCUUUAUUAAGGAGUAAAGAUUAAGUUACUUUAGGGAUAACAGCAUAAUUUCUUUAGAGAGUUCUUAUCGAAGAAGUUAGUUGUGACCUCGAUGUUGAAUUAAAUUUUCCUUUAGGUGU